AUUGAACGCUGGCGGCAUGCCUUACACAUGCAAGUCGAACGGUAACAGGUCUUCGGAUGCUGACGAGUGGCGAACGGGUGAGUAAUACAUCGGAACGUGCCUAGUAGUGGGGGAUAACUACUCGAAAGAGUGGCUAAUACCGCAUGAGAUCUACGGAUGAAAGCAGGGGAUCGCAAGACCUUGUGCUACUAGAGCGGCCGAUGGCAGAUUAGGUAGUUGGUGGGAUAAAAGCUUACCAAGCCGACGAUCUGUAGCUGGUCUGAGAGGACGAUCAGCCACGCUGGGACUGAGACACGGCCCAGACUCCUACGGGAGGCAGCAGUGGGGAAUUUUGGACAAUGGGCGCAAGCCUGAUCCAGCAAUGCCGCGUGCAGGAUGAAGGCCUUCGGGUUGUAAACUGCUUUUGUACGGAACGAAAAGCCCUGGGUUAAUACCCUGGGGUCAUGACGGUACCGUAAGAAUAAGCUCCGGCUAACUACGUGCCAGCCGCCGCCGUAA
RNAcentral lists this ribosomal RNA (498 nucleotides) under uncultured bacterium. RNAcentral's name for it is "partial 16S ribosomal RNA". It matches the Rfam family "Bacterial small subunit ribosomal RNA", at positions 30 to 523 of the family's 1533-position model. The record is from RNAcentral.